This 87-nucleotide transfer RNA is filed under the name Deltaproteobacteria bacterium. Its description in RNAcentral is "tRNA-Ser". It matches the Rfam family "tRNA". From Rfam's summary of the family: Transfer RNA (tRNA) molecules are approximately 80 nucleotides in length. Their secondary structure includes four short double-helical elements and three loops (D, anti-codon, and T loops). The record is from RNAcentral. Lineage: Bacteria; Pseudomonadati; Myxococcota; Myxococcia.
GGAGGGGUGGCCGAGCGGUUGAAGGCACCAGUCUUGAAAACUGGCAUACCCUCACGGGUAUCGUGAGUUCGAAUCUCACCCCCUCCG